CCCUUUGAUACUCUGGGCGGCACGCGCGCUGCACUGGUUUAUAUAACGUGUAAUUUGGACGAUAGUCUGUAUAAAUCACUAAUAUAAAACCGUGAAUGGGAUAGUUUAUUGCAACUUACAAACUUUAACUAGGAAUCCCUUGUAGAAGUAGUGAAUUAUACUGCUUCGAAUACGUCCCUGCCGAUUGUACACACCGCCCGUCGUUUCUUCCGACUGGUACUCAUUGUGAAUUGCGAGGAGAUUCUGUCAAAUCGUUGUAAAUGCUGGGUAUUGGAGGAAGAAAAAGUCGUAACA
This 294-nucleotide ribosomal RNA is filed under the name uncultured eukaryote. RNAcentral describes it as "partial 18S ribosomal RNA". It matches the Rfam family "Eukaryotic small subunit ribosomal RNA", at positions 1470 to 1796 of the family's 1831-position model. The record is from RNAcentral.